RNAcentral lists this ribosomal RNA (305 nucleotides) under uncultured bacterium. RNAcentral's name for it is "bacterial SSU rRNA". It matches the Rfam family "Bacterial small subunit ribosomal RNA", at positions 335 to 657 of the family's 1533-position model. The record is from RNAcentral.
CUUCCUACGGGGGGCAGCAGUGGGGAAUAUUGCACAAUGGGGGGAACCCUGAUGCAGCGACGCCGCGUGGGUGAAGGAGUACUUCGGUACGUAAAGCCCUAUCAGCAGGAAAGAAAAUGACGGUACCUGACUAAGAAGCCCCGGCUAACUACGUGCCAGCAGCCGCGGUAAUACGUAGGGGGCAAGCGUUAUCCGGAUUUACUGGGUGUAAAGGGAGCGUAGACGGAGGAGCAAGUCUGAUGUGAAAAUCCGGGGCCCAACCCCGGAACUGCAUUGGAAACUGUUUAUCUAGAGUGUCGGAGAGG